This is a long non-coding RNA of Oreochromis aureus, 1190 nucleotides long. Lineage: Eukaryota; Metazoa; Chordata; Actinopteri; Cichliformes; Cichlidae. The record is from Ensembl.
UGGACGUCCUGUUUUUUAGGCUCUGGCUUGUCGUGCAAAGGAGAAGAAUGAGGCAGCCUUGCUGAGAGUUGAUAUUUAACUUCAGCCCCACCAGAUAAAGAAAGCACCCAUGCAAUGGUUUUGAGAGGGAGAUCUGCAAAAUAAAGAUUAGCCUCCAAUGCCGAGAACACUGAACUGAUUAUUCAGGGUGAAAAUACAGAAGAAGAGCAUUUGUCCCUUGAAACAGUAAAGCAUGUGGAGAAUCCACACAGUCACAAGUAUGCAGCAGCCAUGCAGAGGAAAUGAACACUUUUAGUCACUUUAGGCAUAUAAACAAAAGAAUGCAGAUAGACGCACAUGAACCUAGAACUGCACCUAACCAUGAUCUUUCCAUUAUUUUUCCGAUGAAUACUCCUGGCAAUGACUAAACAAUCCAGAGAUUCUUAAAUAGCACCAGCAAGUAAUCAACAGACCGCAAGAUAUUUUCUCUAUGGUGUUAAUAAAGUGCUUUAUCUACCUCGCAUCCAUGGCCAGUUUUGAAUAGCCAAUAAGCGGAACAUGUGUCUGGGACUGUGGGAGCAAGCCAGGAAACCCUCGCAGGGACAACAUGCAAACUUUGAACCAGGAAACUGCUUGGUGCCAGGCAGCAUUGCUAACCACUGACAAAACCAGCAUUCGGUUAAAUUUCUGACUCAUCUACAUUAUUGUACAAAAGUCUUGAACCAACCAGCAUUACCUCUGCCAAAUAGAUUAUGGUUUUGGUAAUAUGUGUGCGUGUAUGUGCCUGUAAACAUAGUAGCUCAAAAUGUUUUGAAUAAAUUCUGUUAAAAUUGUAUAGAGUGUGGUCAUGCGGGAAUCCAUUAAAAUUUGGCUUAUAUCUGCCAAGGUCUUCAAAUUCUAUUUACUGAUUUAUUGGUGGAAAUUAUAACGAAAAGCCUUAUAACUUACAAACUAUGAUUCAUACAAGGGUUUUGUGUAUUGUCAAGCUGUAGAAAGUAACAUAGGAUUUAACAUAGGAUGGUAUUUAAAAUACUGUGUCACAUUUGACCUCUGACCUGUCCUUCAAAGUCAAUAAAUUGAUCUCAUGGUCAAAGUGAGCGAUUUUAAAUGACAAUUGGUUUUCAGACUGACGAGAACAGGUUGACAAGGGAUACUUUUUGUGUACAGUUGAUUAAUUUUAUUACGACUUUGUUAUGUAAAUUAUAGUAAAA